Molecule: long non-coding RNA, 1424 nt
Organism: Balaenoptera ricei (Rice's whale)
Lineage: Eukaryota; Metazoa; Chordata; Mammalia; Artiodactyla; Balaenopteridae
Exons: 4
Source: RefSeq, a predicted model, not a curated record
GUACCGACUGCGGACUGCGCCACGGCUGCCACUAAAUGCCGGGCUCCGUACGGGCAGGAGAAGCGGCCGCGAUUUCAAGGCGUCUUCGGGAAAACACACUCUUUCACCAGCCCGUUUUCUUACCCGUCUCCCCACAAUCCGGGCCCUACCUAUCAUGGAAGAUUCUCGAAAAACACAGGAGUACUGUACCCCAAAGCCACGCCUAUGAACCCGGGGUUCCCUGCCUCCUCUCCAUCUAUUACAACCUCCUCCGGCGCCUUAGAACCUGUGCCACAGAGCACCACCACCACCGAAAAAGCGGCAUACCUGUUAUAAUCCGCGGAGCUACCAGACAUGAUCCAAAAAACCACUCAGUGCCCGACUGGAAAGACAGAGGAGCCGCACCACCCGUUUUUUAUAGGCUCGCGGCCGGGACCCGUUUUCUGCGGAGGAAUUUUCCCGUCGUUCUACGACAAGCCACAAAAUUGUGAUCGUGGGGUGCUUAUCUCAGAAAAUAUCCUAAGCAAAUCGGUGGGAAAACCCAAAUUUAGUUAUCUGUCGAUCUUACAGCGUUGCUGAACAUCCCAAGACCCUGGGGGGGGAUGUUGGGACUCUUUGCUCUGCGGCGGAAGAAUAUUGCAGCAAGCGGUGGGCAGACCCGCGUUCCCCGCCCGCCCUGCUCCUACGGGGUUUCCGCGUCCCCGAAGCAGAGGCGGCCGGGCCGCCGGGCUGGACCGGGAGGCGGAAGGCUGGGGCGCGCCGGACGGUUGGCAGCUCUGGCUUUCCCGCCGGCGAGUGGGACCAGGCUCGCCGGUCCCGCAGUGCUCGGUGCCGGAGGGGUAGGCACGUCCACACUCUGCACUGGAGGGGAAUCGGUCUGUUCCGCUCGUUCCCACCGCUACUUAUCUUGACGGUAGAGAGCCGCCUGGCCUUUGGCACGAGCGUUUAACAUCCUUCAGACCUUGACAGUGAAACUCCUGCUACGGAAAAUGUCGGCUACCCAGCAAGUCCCGUUUAGCACUACUGUUACAUGCUGUGGAGGAUUUCCAGAGUCCCUUAACAGGAAAUAAUCAAGGGCUAAACUCUGGUUGAAGUCACAAUUGCUCAAGGGGUUUCAAGGUCAAACAGACUGAUGAGGAAAAGAAUUUUUUCACUGCUGGCAGUAAUUCCUUAGACAUAUAGACUUCGAAAAAAUAAAGGGGGUGGGCACUCUGCCAUCUUCCUGACUCCCGUAGAAAGGCUGAGGUGAUGCAUAACUAGCUGGUGUUCCCUGAGACUGCCUCUGUUUGGGAAAGCCUUCGUGUCUGAAGAGAGAAGAUGGUCAAGGCAUAGUGCCCCUUUGCUUGCUAGAGGCUUCUAUUUUUAUUUUCCUUUAAAAUUCCUUUGAAAAGUAACUUUAAAAUUUUAUACUCACAAUUGACCCAAAUAAAAGAAAUUAUAUGGGC